This 462-nucleotide ribosomal RNA is filed under the name uncultured bacterium. RNAcentral's name for it is "bacterial SSU rRNA". It matches the Rfam family "Bacterial small subunit ribosomal RNA", at positions 335 to 790 of the family's 1533-position model. The record is from RNAcentral.
ACUCCUACGGGAGGCAGCAGUGGGGAAUAUUGCACAAUGGGGGAAACCCUGAUGCAGCCAUGCCGCGUGUGUGAAGAAGGCCUUGGGUUGUAAAGCACUUUCAGUAGGGAGGAAGGUAGUGUAGUUAACACCUGCAUUAUUUGACGUUACCUACAGAAGAAGCACCGGCUAACUCCGUGCCAGCAGCCGCGGUAAUACGGAGGGUGCGAGCGUUAAUCGGAAUUACUGGGCGUAAAGCGCAUGCAGGCGGCCUGUUAAGUCAGAUGUGAAAGCCCGGGGCUUAACCUCGGAAUUGCAUUUGAAACUGGCAGGCUAGAGUCUUGUAGAGGGGUUAGAAUUUCAGGUGUAGCGGUGAAAUGCGUAGAGAUCUGAAGGAAUACCGAGUGGCGAAGGCGGCCCCCGUGGACAAAGCUGACGCUCAGAUGCGAAAGCGUGGGAGCAAACGAGGAUUAGAUACCCCGU